UGGGGAAUUUUGGACAAUGGGCGAAAGCCUGAUCCAGCAAUGCCGCGUGUGUGAAGAAGGCCUUCGGGUUGUAAAGCACUUUUGUCCGGAAAGAAAUCCUUGGCUCUAAUACAGUCGGGGGAUGACGGUACCGGAAGAAUAAGCACCGGCUAACUACGUGCCAGCAGCCGCGGUAAUACGUAGGGUGCAAGCGUUAAUCGGAAUUACUGGGCGUAAAGCGUGCGCAGGCGGUUUGCUAAGACCGAUGUGAAAUCCCCGGGCUCAACCUGGGAACUGCAUUGGUGACUGGCAGGCUAGAGUAUGGCAGAGGGGGGUAGAAUUCCACGUGUAGCAGUGAAAUGCGUAGAGAUGUGGAGGAAUACCGAUGGCGAAGGCAGCCCCCUGGGCCAAUACUGAUGCUCAUGCACGAAAGCGUGGGGAGCAAACAGGAUUAGAUACCCUGGUAGUCCACGCCCUAAACGAUGUCAACUAGUUGUUGGGGAUUCAUUUCCUUAGUAACGUAGCUAACGCGUGAAGUUGACCGCCUGGGGAGUACGGUCGCAAGAUUAAAACUCAAAGGAAUUGACGGGGUCAUAGCUGUUUCCU
This 585-nucleotide ribosomal RNA is filed under the name uncultured bacterium. Its description in RNAcentral is "partial 16S ribosomal RNA". It matches the Rfam family "Bacterial small subunit ribosomal RNA", at positions 355 to 1375 of the family's 1533-position model. The record is from RNAcentral.